Protopterus annectens (West African lungfish) is the source of this 1077-nucleotide long non-coding RNA. RefSeq lists it as uncharacterized. The record is from RefSeq and is a predicted model, not a curated record. The transcript has 3 exons. NCBI's taxonomy places the organism in Eukaryota, Metazoa, Chordata, Ceratodontiformes, Protopteridae.
UACUCCCAGUGUGGAUUUGUUAAAAAUCCUUAAUGAAAGUGCGACAGUGGGAGGAGGGGACAGACGAGGGACAUUUCUCAUAAUGAGGCACAGUGGACAAAGGUACGAUGAUGGAAGUGCCCAUUUUAACUGGGUUAAUCUGGCAACAAAUUCGCAUUUCAGGACCAGACUGAAACCCGGAUCUUUGCAGGGCUCCUUUGUUAGUGUUAUUCGCUCUACCUGCUCUGAUGAACAGUCCCGCCUCCUAAACUCAGACGUUAUUGUUCCUCCUUCUAUGUUCAAAAACAUUUCAAAUGUGCACAGGACCCCUGCUCUGCUGGGAUAUCGGACCCCCCAAUCAACCAGAUACAUUAACAAAAAUGGAAGCCUACAUUUUACUACUGGAUGCCCCCAUUCUCUAAGUGCACCCCAAGAUUCUUAAUUUCCAAUUGUAUCUCCAGCCACGUACUCCGCUCUUUGUAGACACCCCAUUUCCAGCUGCACACCUAACCUCCACCUGGGAGACUUACAGCCCGCUCCCUCGCGAUCCCCACUCCGCGUGCAGAAGUGGCUGUCCCCCGCGAUCCCCACUCCGCGUGCAGAAGUGGCUACUCAGGCACGAGCGCAUUGCUUAUUGGUGGACUUGGGAAGUGUCAUUCGUCUGGGAAACCCGACACGUGCAGAAGGAGGGAAGCCCUCUGCUUGGCUGCUACUGCAAGGGUUUGUAGGAAUAUUUCACAACCACUACGUACCAAAUGCAUGGAUGUACUAACAGAAGGAAAGAUAGGGAUAUCUGAGCCUGUGGAAUAUCAAAGGCAGCAAUACACACUGUUUUAAAUUACACAUUGGUGCUGGCAAGGUAAACACGACAACUUGAGGGGCAGGGCAGAACUGACUUCCAUAGUGUAAGGAAACUGCAAAACUAUGAAACAAGACGAAGCAGGAAGUGAGAGAAUGUCUGAUGUUCCACAGAAAAGACCCAGAACAAUCACCAAGUUUGUUGAGUACGUAGGGUCCUUCGCUGUUGAAGAUGUCGAGUUUGAUAAGAAGAUCCAGAAGGUACAUCAAUACCUGGAUGCACUGAAGGUAACUGAGUGG